Poecilia latipinna (sailfin molly) is the source of this 1546-nucleotide long non-coding RNA. RefSeq lists it as uncharacterized. The transcript has 2 exons. The record is from RefSeq and is a predicted model, not a curated record. NCBI's taxonomy places the organism in Eukaryota, Metazoa, Chordata, Actinopteri, Cyprinodontiformes, Poeciliidae.
CUCGGAGCUGAAUCAACAAUUAGCUGCAGGAGGAUGACAUUCAGCGUUCACAUUCCUUCAGUGAUGCUCCCGGACGCAGAGCAAGGUUCCUCCCAUACUUCAUGCUGUUCAUGAAGUGAGUUUUUCAGUUUUCUUUGUUAAAAUCUUCAUCAGCCUGCCACAUUGAUUCAACUGGGAACCACAGUCUCAGACUGAGAGGACGUGUAUGUUUUCCAGAGAGCAAACUGAUCUGAUGCACGGUGCAGGUCAUGAUUCUAAGAUGCAAAAGGAACUGCAUCAUUUGCAAGAAAGCAAAGAUGAGACCCUGAGAUCCCUCCUCUCCAUGGUGAGCUUGUUUGUGCUGAGGAUAGUGACAAAUCUUUGGUUAUGCAAGGACCAUGUCUAGUUCAGCAUCAGUGGUACUCCAUGUUCCUCAUUAACCCUCUGAUAACAUGCCUCAUGUAUUACUUUCUUAAAUGACUUUUUCUAAUCACCUCUAUUGUUUUCUGCUCCGUCAUUGGGAUUAUUUUCAUCCUGUCAUUCACCCGUAUUGAAGAACUUUUUAAAGGCUACAGGGAACUGUAGCCCAGUUGCACAUAUUAACACAUACAUGUAUUCUAUUAAGAGCUGUCUCUUAAUGAGUGAUCGGUUUAAUUAUUCUUUUUCUCCUCCACUUGUCCAUUUUACAUUGAUUUAAAAUCUUUUGGCCAAGCAUAAUAUAAAGAAGAUAGAUGAAGAAAGACCUUUGGAAAUAUUAUAAAUUAAAAUAGAGACAAAUUAAACAAAAUAAAAUCACAUUUUACUUGAAUCAAGUUUAAUUAAAUUAAAUUGGAUUAAUUUUGCAUAAUUCAUGACAAGCACAGAGCUUGACAAAUGAAAAAUAUACACAAAUUAUUUAUAGAUGACAUUCUUAUAUAAAAGUUUAAGUUUGUUUUCACUCAGAAGGAGGUCCUCCACGCUUUCUUCAAAGUUAGAGAUUAUGAAGUUUGUUCACUUUUCUGUGUGCCAUGCAAAGUUAUUUCUCACCAUUUUUAAGCACCUAUUAUGAAUUUUAUUCUAAGGUAACCGCCAGAGCAAUCUCUUUUCCUCAGCCGGCCACAGGUUUUUGUGCCAGGCUCGGGAAAAGCUCUUCCUGACUGGAUCCCCCAGCUUGCAUUGCUCCAAAUCCAAUAACACAAGAUACAGAAUUUCAGUGUUCCUCUGAUACGCCUCUUUCCAAGUCCUCCCCUCGCUGUGUGAAAUCGAUUCGUGGCGCGUGGAGAAUUUGUGCCCCUGUUGGCUUUGUUGUUGCAGAAGCAUGCUGGGGUUUAUGAUGCCCUUGGACGUCAGAGACUCUUCCUCCGCCUGUCUUACUUACUAAACCAAUCUCCACCUCGCGUUCUUUUGUUUCAGUUUGUUUUUGUGCUCCAAAGCACUUAUCUCAAACAUUCAGUUCAGCCACAGCUUUGUGGCAGCAACAAUGAAGUGCCAGUGCCCAGAAACUUUUCCCCAUGCCUUUUGUGAGUUUAUAAUUGGACACUCUUUUUACAAGUGUGUGUGCAGCUACAGUUCAAUAAAAAAACAAAUA